GCAGGUUCGAAUCCUGCACGACCCACCAAUAUACAAGGUGGUAACUGGUAGAGAACGUGAAGGAUAACGUUGCUUUAGCAACGGCCCGAAGGGCGAGGCGAAGCCGAGUCAUCCUGCACGACCCACCA
Molecule: small RNA, 128 nt
Filed under: Salmonella enterica subsp. enterica serovar Agona
Lineage: Bacteria; Pseudomonadati; Pseudomonadota; Gammaproteobacteria; Enterobacterales; Enterobacteriaceae
Also listed under: 2 other names
Description: partial RtT sRNA
Rfam family: RtT RNA
About the family: This family represents a bacterial cis-regulatory element known as RtT RNA. The exact function of RtT is unknown although it is thought that it may be involved in changing the cellular response in relation to amino acid starvation.
Source: RNAcentral